GCCCGGAGAAGAGGGCACCCCCGGUGAAGAUGGACAGCCCGCAAUGACAACCCCUCCCCACCGGACGGUCCCUGCAGCAUAGAUGGCCCGGACCAACUCACCCUAACUUCCCACCGAGGGCAGCACGAGGCUCUAUGGUCUACACACCUUGUCAAUGCAUGGGUCUCAAGCUGUAACUUAUGAGGUUGACAAUUUCUACUUUGUUUCUCUGUCCGAUUGCUUACUUUGCAAGGAUGUAUCACAACAAAGACAUCAAAAUCAAUAAUAAGGAAACAAACAAAUCUCAUGGGAAGACCUCAUGCUGCAGGAAUUGUCCAGAGCUGUAGAAAAUCCCCAAAGCUGACAGGCCUCCCAGGAGCACAGCGGCUGUCAGG
This is a long non-coding RNA of Hyla sarda, 374 nucleotides long. RefSeq lists it as uncharacterized. The record is from RefSeq and is a predicted model, not a curated record. The transcript has 4 exons. NCBI's taxonomy places the organism in Eukaryota, Metazoa, Chordata, Amphibia, Anura, Hylidae.